GGGUUAUGUUGUUAUAAGUGGUUGUUUUGUAUGAACUUUUAAUCCGUUGGUCGUCGGUUCGAUCCCGAUACGUCCCACCA
This 80-nucleotide transfer RNA is filed under the name Deltaproteobacteria bacterium HGW-Deltaproteobacteria-19. RNAcentral's name for it is "tRNA-Lys". Lineage: Bacteria; Deltaproteobacteria. The record is from RNAcentral.